RNAcentral lists this ribosomal RNA (368 nucleotides) under uncultured organism. RNAcentral's name for it is "bacterial SSU rRNA". It matches the Rfam family "Bacterial small subunit ribosomal RNA", at positions 526 to 896 of the family's 1533-position model. The record is from RNAcentral.
CGUAGGUGGCAAGCGUUGUCCGGAAUUACUGGGCGUAAAGCGAACGCAGGCGGAUGGUUAAGUAAGAAGUGAAAGGUCGGAGCUCAACUCCAACACUGCUUCUUAUACUGGCCGUCUUGAGUCCCGGAGAGGAAAGCGGAACUGCACGUGUAGCGGUGAAAUGCGUUGAUAUGUGCAGGAACACCAAUGGCGAAGGCAGCUUUCUGGACGAGGACUGACGCUCAUGUUCGAAAGCCAAGGUAGCGAACAGGAUUAGAUACCCUGGUAGUCUUGGCCCUAAACUAUGUUCACUAGGUGUCGGGGGGUAACCUUCGGUGCCGCAGCUAACGCAUUAAGUGAACCGCCUGGGGACUACGGCCGCAAGGUUG